This 451-nucleotide ribosomal RNA is filed under the name uncultured bacterium. RNAcentral describes it as "partial 16S ribosomal RNA". It matches the Rfam family "Bacterial small subunit ribosomal RNA", at positions 339 to 795 of the family's 1533-position model. The record is from RNAcentral.
CUACGGGAUGCUCCAGUGGGGAAUCUUGGACAAUGGGGGAAACCCUGAUCCAGCAACGCCGCGUGAGGGACGAAGGCCUGAGGGUCGUAAACCUCUUUUCCAUGGGAAGAAACCCCGCAAGGGUCUGACGGUACCAUGGGAAUAAGCCCCGGCUAAAUAUGUGCCAGCAGCCGCGGUAAGACAUAUGGGGCGAGCGUUACUCGGAAUUACUAGGCGUAAAGCGCGUGUAGGCGGAUGCUCAAGUCUGCUGUGAAAUCUCCCGGCUUAACCGGGAGGGGUCGGUGGAAACUGGGUGUCUAGAGUGAGGUAGGGGGAACCGGAAUUCCUGGUGUAGCGGUGAAAUGCGUAGAUAUCAGGAGGAACACCGGUGGCGAAAGCGGGUUCCUGGGCCUUUACUGACGCUGAGACGCGAAAGCCGGGGCAGCAAACAGGAUUAGAUACCCCGGUAGUC